UACGUAGGGUGCGAGCGUUGUCCGGAAUUAUUGGGCGUAAAGGGCUCGUAGGCGGUUUGUCGCGUCGGGAGUGAAAACUCAGGGCUUAACCCUGAGCCUGCUUCCGAUACGGGCAGACUAGAGGUAUGCAGGGGAGAACGGAAUUCCUGGUGUAGCGGUGAAAUGCGCAGAUAUCAGGAGGAACACCGGUGGCGAAGGCGGUUCUCUGGGCCAUUACUGACGCUGAGGAGCGAAAGCGUGGGGAGCGAACAGG
RNAcentral lists this ribosomal RNA (253 nucleotides) under uncultured bacterium. RNAcentral's name for it is "partial 16S ribosomal RNA". It matches the Rfam family "Bacterial small subunit ribosomal RNA", at positions 524 to 776 of the family's 1533-position model. The record is from RNAcentral.